UUGAAUUAUCCAACAACCACGCUAGAAUAUUGGUAAAUUCGCGCUAAAUUCUGUCAAAAUAUUUCCACCUACACAAAGGGAAGACUGGAGGAAACAGUUGUAGUAGUUGAUGCCGUGUUACUAUAAAGACGUGGGUUUGACGUUAAACCAGUCUAUCACAAAUUCAAGGUAAGACUGCCUACAAUAGAUGUAGUGUUGUCAAUCGUGCUUACGGUGCUAUGCUGUUAUUUGACAACAUUUUGUAGUAAAUCGCGUAUCAAAGAAUAAAAGUGAUUUGUUAAAAUUCCACAAGAUUGUAGAGCUAUAUCCACUAUUUGACAAACUGAAUAAAUGCACAAGAUAAACCCUUUUGGUUCUGCAAAAAUAAAAUCUAAACGCAAGAACAAUUGAAGUAGGAACUACCAGACCAUUUUUUGUUUUGCGAAUACGAGUCAAAUUGAGUGAAAUACUCCUAAGUGUAAUCACAUUGCUUAUUAUCAAAAUGUCAAAUCAGUCAGUCUCAGUCAGUCAUACCUUGGUGGCCUUUG
This 527-nucleotide long non-coding RNA is filed under the name Trifolium pratense (red clover). Its description in RNAcentral is "long non-coding RNA (TPRA_LNC011160)". Lineage: Eukaryota; Viridiplantae; Streptophyta; Magnoliopsida; Fabales; Fabaceae. The record is from RNAcentral.